Molecule: long non-coding RNA, 363 nt
Filed under: Bos grunniens (domestic yak)
Lineage: Eukaryota; Metazoa; Chordata; Mammalia; Artiodactyla; Bovidae
Description: lncRNA (ENSBGRG00000006449.1)
Source: RNAcentral
UGAGUUUUAGCCAUUUAUUUGAUUAAAUUCCAGUUGUGCUGUCUCCCUGCAGAUUCAUGUCCCUUGCUGGGGAACUCUACUGCCAGCAGAUCUUGGCCUACAACCCUUUCUCUCCAAGAGGCACAUUCCCCAGGGCAGACCAGAGAGAGUUUUGAAGACCAGGGAGAAGGAGAAAGCAUCACCAGAAAUAGCAGUUUCCCAAUGAAACUUUAUCUGAACUUUUUGAAAGGGAGAGCGCUCCCCUAAUGAACAUAGAUCAGCAAAGGUAGGAGGACUUUGGAGGCACAAAGACCUGGUUCAAAUCCCAAGUGUCAGUUGAAGCUGUCCCUUCUCUGAGAUCCUUCUUUCCUCAUCUUGGAAAUG